CCCUUAGAUGGUCUGGGCGGCACGCGCGCUACAAUGAUGCAUUCAAAAAGUCUUCUGACCUUAGAAGGUUGGGUAUUCUCCAAAGCGCAUCGUGAUGGGAAUAGUUUAUUGCAAUUUUUAAUCUUGAACGAGGAAUUCCUAGUAAGUACAGGUCAUCAACUUGUGUUGAUUACGUCCCUGCCCUUUGUACACACCGCCCGUCGCUCCUACUGAUUGAGUGUCUCGGUGAAUUCUUUGAUCUUCUGUCGAUUCAGUUCACUGAUCCGACGGUGGAAAGUUGAAUGAACUUCGUCACUUAGAGGAAGGAGAAGUCGUAACA
This 319-nucleotide ribosomal RNA is filed under the name uncultured eukaryote. Its description in RNAcentral is "partial 18S ribosomal RNA". It matches the Rfam family "Eukaryotic small subunit ribosomal RNA", at positions 1470 to 1796 of the family's 1831-position model. The record is from RNAcentral.